UACGUAGGUGGCGAGCGUUGUCCGGAUUUAUUGGGCGUAAAGCGCGCGCAGGCGGUGGCGUAAGUCUGCUGUGAAAUCUCCUGGCUCAACCGGGAGGGGGCGGCGGAGACUGCGGCACUGGAGGGACCUAGAGGCCGGUGGAAUUCCCGGUGUAGUGGUGAAAUGCGUAGAGAUCGGGAGGAACACCAGUGGCGAAGGCGGCCGGCUGGGGGUGCCCUGACGCUGAGGCGCGAAAGCGUGGGGAGCGAACCGGAUUAGAUACCCGGGUAGUCCACGCUGUAAACGAUGGCCACCAGAUGUGGGGGGUAUCGACCCCCUCCGCGUCGGCGCAAACGCACUAAGUGGCCCGCCUGGGGAGUACGGCCGCAAGGCUAAA
This 376-nucleotide ribosomal RNA is filed under the name uncultured bacterium. RNAcentral's name for it is "bacterial SSU rRNA". It matches the Rfam family "Bacterial small subunit ribosomal RNA", at positions 524 to 898 of the family's 1533-position model. The record is from RNAcentral.